This 790-nucleotide long non-coding RNA is filed under the name Theobroma cacao (cacao). RNAcentral describes it as "long non-coding RNA (TCAC_LNC002450)". Lineage: Eukaryota; Viridiplantae; Streptophyta; Magnoliopsida; Malvales; Malvaceae. The record is from RNAcentral.
AAACAUCACACUUAGAAUUUGAUACAUGACAUCAAGGUUAUUCGAUGAUACAAUUCCGAUAAACUAAUUGUUUUUUUAUACAACUGACCAUCCUACAUAAACAUGACCUCUAUACAGCGGAGCGACUCGAAGUAGAAGUCUAAAAGAUGCCAUUAGCUACAUCACGAGUCAAAAUUUGUUGAGGCAAUACACAAGAGCUAAUUACUUAUCUGCAAAAAGGAGAAGAUAAGGGGGGUGAGUCUCACAGACUCAGUGAUCAUCAGCUCUGUGAGUAGGGAGUAGUUGUGAAACAAGCUAGAGAUAGAAAAUUUCAAUAUUAAGAACAUAUGAAUAGAUAAACAAUUUAAACUCAAAUGGAACAUUUGUGCCUUACAUAUAUACCAAAGAAUUGUGAUGCAAAAUAACCAUUUUAAGUAAUACAUUAAAAUCAGUGCAGUUAAAAGAUUUCUACCGUCGAAAUCAUUUAAUGUCCUUUACACAAAAUCAAACUAACAUAGACACGCACGCUCCUGUAAAAUCAAGCCAUGUCAAUGCUUAUACACAUGCAUAUAAACGAACUCAUACUUGAGGUAUAAAACACAAGACCAUCAUCUAACUAAGGGAGUUGUGGACAAACCGGUAUUUCUAACCAUGCGAAAGAAUACGUAUUUGAAAACCCAAAGAGAUAUCAUUCUCGAGUAGGUAAUCAUAAAUAAUCAACCCGUGGACCCUCUUCCAUGUAGUAACAUCCAGAAGGCCCCCUUCCAGUUGAUUCCUGUCAUGACCCGAAACUCCCAUCGAGCCCGUGACA